Molecule: long non-coding RNA, 135 nt
Organism: Herpailurus yagouaroundi (jaguarundi)
Lineage: Eukaryota; Metazoa; Chordata; Mammalia; Carnivora; Felidae
Exons: 3
Source: RefSeq, a predicted model, not a curated record
UGCAUCUGUCUCCCAUCCAAGUACUAACCAGGCCCGACCCUGCUUAUCUUCCGAGAUCAGACGAGAUCGGGCGCAUUCAGGGUAGUAUGGCCGUAGACUCUACAAGUUAGUUUUUUUGUUUUUGAUUAGAGCCAG